GGGGAUGAUCGGUUUCGACGAUGUUUGUCGCGACAGGGGAAGCGGGCCGAGGAUGCAGAGUUAUCUCGUAAACGCUCUCUGCAAACCAAUAAGUGCCGAAUCCAAGCGCACUGACUUCGCUCUCGCUGCCUAAGCAGCGGGCAUAGUCCGUCAGCCCGGGGAUGCUCUCGCCCCGGAUCCUGGCGUCAUUUAGAGAGCCACUGCUGGACACCUUCGCCGUCGGGGUGUCCGGGACUCUUAGACGGCUGGGCCCGGAUCAGCCACUCGUUCGCGAAGAUGGCUGGGGCCAAGAAAAUCCGACGCGGACUGCGCCCGGAGAAGCCCUGACAACACGACAUCGGACGGGGGUUCGAUUCCCCCCAUCUCCAC
This 369-nucleotide transfer-messenger RNA is filed under the name Arthrobacter saudimassiliensis. Its description in RNAcentral is "transfer-messenger RNA, SsrA". It matches the Rfam family "transfer-messenger RNA". Rfam says of the family: Bacterial tmRNA, also known as 10Sa RNA or SsrA, is named for its dual tRNA and mRNA-like properties. Its role is to liberate the mRNA from a stalled ribosome. Lineage: Bacteria; Bacillati; Actinomycetota; Actinomycetes; Micrococcales; Micrococcaceae. The record is from RNAcentral.